GCACCCGUAGCACAAUUGGAUAGUGCGUAGCCCUCCGAAGGCUAAGGUUACAGGUUCGACUCCUGUCGGGUGCA
Molecule: transfer RNA, 74 nt
Filed under: Telmatocola sphagniphila
Lineage: Bacteria; Pseudomonadati; Planctomycetota; Planctomycetia; Gemmatales; Gemmataceae
Rfam family: tRNA
About the family: Transfer RNA (tRNA) molecules are approximately 80 nucleotides in length. Their secondary structure includes four short double-helical elements and three loops (D, anti-codon, and T loops).
Source: Rfam by way of RNAcentral